Molecule: ribosomal RNA, 486 nt
Filed under: uncultured bacterium
Lineage: Bacteria
Description: bacterial SSU rRNA
Rfam family: Bacterial small subunit ribosomal RNA
Source: RNAcentral
AAUCAACGCUGGCGGCGUGCCUCAGACAUGCAAGUCGAACGAUUAAAGCUCUCUUCGGAGAGUGUAUAGAGUGGCGCACGGGUGAGUAACACGUAAGUAAUCUACCCUCGAGUGGGGAAUAACAACCGGAAACGGUUGCUAAUACCGCAUAAUGCAGCGGCACCGCAAGGUGACAGUUGUUAAAGAUUUAUCGCUUGAGGAGGAGCUUGCGGCAGAUUAGCUAGUUGGUAGGGUAACGGCUUACCAAGGCUACGAUCUGUAACCGGUCUAAGAGGACGGUCGGUCACACUGACACUGAAUAACGGGUCAGACUCCUACGGGAGGCAGCAGUCGGGAAUUUUGGGCAAUGGGCGAAAGCCUGACCCAGCAACGCCGCGUGAAGGAUGAAGUAUUUCGGUAUGUAAACUUCGAAAGAAUAGGAAGAAUUAAUGACGGUACUAUUUAUAAGGUCCGGCUAACUACGUGCCAGCAGCCGCGGUAAAGUAU